Molecule: unclassified non-coding RNA, 546 nt
Filed under: Amphibalanus amphitrite
Lineage: Eukaryota; Metazoa; Arthropoda; Thecostraca; Balanomorpha; Balanidae
Description: 28S ribosomal protein S21, mitochondrial-like, transcript variant X2
Source: RNAcentral
GCCAAAAAGGUAAAGGGCAAAUUGAUUGGUGACUCACCUAUGUUCGAGCAUAAUUUUUUUAUUGUUUAUGUUUGUAGUACUCUGUGCUGCCUUGAUUCUGUGCAUUCUGUGUACUGUUAUUGAUGUAGGUGCCUAUUUCUAUAGUUUUUGCUACAUCAACAUAGCACUGGAUGAGCCCAAGAUGGUUAGAAACGUCUAUGCAAAGUUUGUUGCCAGAACAGUGCUGGUCAAAAAUGGUCAGGUUGAUGAUGCCAUGAAACUUCUGAACAGACUCCUGGGACAGGAAGGUUUCCUGGAGCAGUACCGGAGGACGAGGUACUACGAAAAACCGUCGCAGUUCCGAAGACGGAUCAACUUCGAAAAAUGCAAGGCGAUACACAAUGAAGACAUGGACCGGAAACUGCAGUUUUUGAUGAGGAAAAAUCGGCUCACACCUUGGGUUGGCUGUGAAUGAAUGGCUAUGCGGUGUCAUAUGUCUCAAUGCUUGUUAUACCUAUGUAGAAUGAUUAUGUGUCAACUUGGUUUCAUAAACAUGUCGUGAAAACA